Molecule: non-coding RNA, 158 nt
Filed under: Hyphomicrobiales bacterium
Lineage: Bacteria; Pseudomonadati; Pseudomonadota; Alphaproteobacteria; Hyphomicrobiales
Description: Rhizobiales bacterium (stromatolite metagenome) 6S RNA
Rfam family: 6S / SsrS RNA
About the family: E. coli 6S RNA was the first non coding RNA to be sequenced, but its function was unknown until recently. It consists of 184 nucleotides that fold into an extended hairpin structure with a large single-stranded internal bulge.
Source: RNAcentral
CGGUCGCUGCCUGGUGCGUCAGGUCCACAGAUCCCUGGGGCCAAUGUUCUCUCGAUAGGGAGCUGUCCCUGCCCUGGCCGUGGUCAGGGCAAUACGGCGCCCACCUGCUUAGGCAGGCCACAGAGGACUUAUCGACCAACGGCCAAGGUGGCUCCGCC